AGAGACGUAUCUAGUAAGUAAUUAUAUUAAUCAAAGAACAAAUUUACAUCGCUGUUGACUCAUCACCUUGUUCACUUUGUUUAUUCAUCAAAACACAUACAUAUACACACCUCCAUAAUACCACCAAAAACAAAUGUAAAACAAGUAGAUAACAGUAAAUCCACCCCUUGCUACACCAUUGGAUUAUUAUCCACUGGGUAAGAAGAUAACAUCACAUAGCAUAGUACUGGUAUUUAUUUAAUUUUCCUUAACACAUGACAAAGCUUUUAUUCAUUAUUUGAUCACGUAAACCGUUAUUACUAGACAUCAGUUGGAAGUUCCAACUUGGAAUCAAAGGGAUGUUGCUCUUCAAGAUCACCGUAGGGACGUUGUCCUCUCCAAUUACCAGGUGGAUCAUAAUUGCAUGUUAUAAAAUACCACCCAUUGUUGCAUCGAACCCUAGCACAACCAAGACGUACUGAGUUACGCCACACCACCUGAGUAUAGUGUCCACACACUUUUCCCGCUGCACAAGUAUUUGAAUUAUAAUUGUAAAAUUGCUUCUCAUCAACCCACAUCUUUACUGCUCCCGCCGCGUGGAGCUGAGGGUAGGCGGCGGCUAGGUUUUCGCCGUAAGGGCCACCGGAAUGCUGCAUCCUGCAGUCCCCAGCUCUCUGAUUUGCAUAAUUUUGGGCAAAGGCCGCUAACCUAUUGUCCCAUGUCAUGGGACCAACACCAACUUGUCUACGAGCUGCAUUGUGAGGGUUAAGAUAAUCUUGGGGAGAGUUUUGAGCUUGAGAUGAGUGAAAUAAUAUAGCAAAGGUAAUGAAACAAGCAACUAAUGUUGUGGAGUAUCCCAUUUUGGGUUUUGGUGAGAAACAAGGAAUAGUAUGGAUGGGUUUUAAUAGGGAAUAAGAGUUGAAAAGUCUGCAAUUUGUAAAAGAAAAAAAUUGGAAAGUCACAUGUUAGCAGACUUUAUCGGAUUAUUAAUUUGAAAGCAUAUGACAUUAGUGUUAAAGUCAAAGAAUUUCAAUGUCACAUCACGUGAGAUAAGAGCCGCCAUUAGUCAUACUUGAUGAAAACCAUAAUUGAUGUGAUUAGCUGAACAACUCUAAUAGUAAAUCAUUUUUUUCAUUAGGGCUCUUUCUCUUUAUUAUUUGGAUAACAUCAUUUUUUUUCUUUAACUUGGCAAAAGAAAUUUACAAAGUCAGUCAUGUUAGAUAUAUCUAGCUUGGAAAAUGUAGUUCUUGUAUAUGUUAUGGUUGAAGCAGGAAAACAGAAAAAGAUAGAGCGAACCAACAAGAGACAGAAUUAAUAUAAUUUUAUUUUUAUAUGAACUUAAUAAUGGUGUACUCCAUUGAAUUUUCUUAAAGUAGAGCGGAGGUAAGUAAUUGCCUAAUUGAAGAGAUAAGGCCUAAAGUUUAUGAGAUUCUACCAGACUCAGUCGGAAUAUGCUUUAAGAAAGUGACAACAUCCUAACUUAUUAUCUAUAUUUUAAAGGAAUGCAUUCAUGUUCAGAAAUUUAGCCAAGAUUUGACGUUUAUGAAUUUUGAACUUGUGUUGGAAUCUAUAUCUUCUUUUAAGUUAAUGAGUCUAUAUCUUCUUUUAAGUUAAUGAGUCUGUAAUUAAAAUAUUUAUAUAUAUUUAAUAAAUUUUCUAAUACAAGUUAAACAAAAAUUAUCGAGUUCGUCCGAACGAAUAACUAACAUUAUAGCUCUUUCAUGUUAAGUGUGAUCAAUUACUACAAGUAGGAGUGCCCUCUAUUUUAUCUGCUAUGGACGUCUUCGAUUUUUCACCUAUAUUUUGGCGGAAGAAGACGAAAGUCAUCUUUCGUAGAAAAUAAAUAUUUCUCUAUUUCUCAAAAAAAAAAAAGCAUAUAUAUUAGAAUUAAUAAUAAUAUUAGCAAAUUGGAAAGUAUUCUGAUGAAAAUUUUAAAUAUUACAGGAUAAUAAUUAAUGUCUAAAUAUUAUUUAGUUUGAAGCUAACCUUUUUGAGUUUUGAUAUUGUUUAACACCAAUCUAUAGUUAAACGCAGCAUCCAUAAAUUAAUUUCUCCUUGCAACUACUUUUUUCCAGAAACAUAAAAGCCGCCAUUAAAUAGUACUAGGAUUUAGGAUGACGAGAAGUACUACUUUGACCGUUUAAACAAAAUUUUAAUAAGGAGUACGAUUUUCUUGGUGAAUUUCUCUCUAGUCUUAGAUCAUAUCUUUCUCUGGGCCUACCAUCCAAAUUGUUCUCCUUAGUUAUCUGAUGCAGCUGCAAUGGAACAGUGAAAUAUUUGGAAGAGAAGAAGGAACAGCUAAAUUAAACUAGGAGGUUUUAUUGAUAAUAAACCCUAUCAACUAUUACAAUAGAAUGAUAGAUAUAGGUGUUUACCCUCAAAAUCGGAUAACAAUUAAAUUUAUAAGUGGUUUUAAGGAUACGCGGAUUAACUUGAUACAAAGCAAUAAAUUAAGUUUCUAUUGAAUAAACAAAGACCAAAUAAAUUUAAACCACAAGAGUUGGAUAGUUUCAGCCUAAGUGAAAUAGUCACUCUCGAACCGAACUCACAAAGACCGGUAUGGAUGAAAAAGAACAAGAACUUAAAAGACGGAUAAAAAUAAUAAUGUAUUGCUUAUGAGUGCGUGUUACAAUAUGUCAAAUGAAUGAUUAGACCCCCUUUAUAUAGUAGAAGAGUCCUAUUUUUGGUACAACUCUAUAAAAAGGUAAAAAAUCUUCUGAUUCGCUGAUUGUUGGUUCCUUAUCGAUACAUGCCGAGAUUCCAGCCGUAAUAUUCGGUUGGUCACGGAUAUUUCGGCUUUUUGUUGGCUAUGCUCGAUUGUCUGACAACGUUCUUCGAAGUCGUUCGAGGCUAGGACUGAUUCUGGGAUCAUGACCUCGAUAUUCUUGAAGGCAGGCGUCAUGCCCCCGGGUUCUAGCUCGGUGGGACUUUGGCUCGAUUUCGGUCCCUUAUUAUCAUAUCUCGAGCCUGGCUUAUCUUAUCGGAGGCUAGGAUGCACCAUGAGCUCGAUUUCACCCGUAUACAGAUAGUCCCCUCGUUUUUCGGAGAUUAAACUAUGAGAAUCGACAUGAGCUUCCGAUUCUUAUUUCGAUACACCAUGACAAAAACGACAAAGCAACUGAAACGUCUCGCCAGUCAACUCUUAAUAGCAUUAAAUGCAUGUCAGCCGCCGGUCGGCCGUCCCUGGAUGCAAAACGUCGAUGAACUAUAAAUACCCCCUCCUUUGUUCAUUUUAACGUUACAUCCAAACCUUCUACCCUCGUACCUUUAAGAUUUCAAUACUCUUUAGAACUUUUACCCUGGUUAUUCGAGUCCCUUUGCAAGAAUUUUUACCCAUCUUCAUCUCAAGACAACAAGUCUAAUCCUUCAAUCUUCCUUUCUUUUUCCACCUUUCUCAGACUUUUCUCCAUUUUUUAAAGAAAUGGCAAAGACUUCUAAGACCGUUCUCCAGAAAGAAACUCCUUCAACUUCGCGACCGGCUACUGAGGCCGAGGAGACCGUUUCGCGCGCUACCGUUUAUGAACCAGUACCCGAACUCCCUUUGAAAAUGUUUAUCCAUGGGGGAUGCUCGGUCAACGUCGAUUUCAAGGUCGAAAAGCCUUCCUCCAUAGAAGGCCGGUGUGAUGAGGUCUCGAGAUAUAUCUGCUCGAUCACCGAAGAGAUCCUCCCUACUGUCCGAAAAAACUGCAACUGGGCCGUUAAGGACAUAGUAAUCCCUGACCCCGAUGAAUCCAUUACCACCCAUGUCGAGGGAUACUUAAGUGUCUACACUUAUCCCUUUAUAUUGGGCCCGGUGGAUCUGGUCAUUUUGGAUUUCUGCAAAAGGUACAACAUGUGCCUAGGCCAGAUUCACCCAUUGCUCUGGAGGAUCAUGAUCCUCUUCCGGUUCUUUGUGAAUAAAAUUGAUGGGUGAUCGUUCACCAUCGACCAUCUUCUUUGCUUAUACAGUCACCGAAUCUUCUAGGGGGACUGAUAAAGCUUGUGCGGUGGGCUAGUAAAGCCCCGUUCUCAAGUAUUGAUGAGGACCAGGAUCGGGGCUGGCAAGGACGUUUUGUUCGAGUGAGGACUUCAGACUUAAUCCCAGCCGAGUGCAGGCCAUUCCCCGAGAAAUGGAAUACCUCACGUAAGUACGAUUUACUUUUGAAUGUCGAUUUUACACUUACUUCUCUUUUUCUUAUUGGUGCUUUGUGGUGGUGCAGCCGUCGCUUGGGUCCCAAAUGCUAUCCCUCGACUCGAAAAGUGAGUCGAGAGUAUCGUAUCACAAAUGCCCUAUUCCAAGCGCUAGUGGUGCAAGCUCUCGAAGGGCCGUUGGGAGGCCCGUUCCCAUGGUGAGACUUCUUCCCCGAGUAGGUAGUAUUAAGAUCCCUCUUUUAACGUUAAACCAUUACUCCCUUUACUUCUUUUUUACAGGUUUAUCUAAGGAUGUCGAGCUGAGGCCUCCAGCCGGUGGCGAGGAAUUACCUACCGAGUCCCUGAUCCGAGACAGGCCGAAGAGAAGAAAAGAAAUAGGGAUCUGAAUUCCCCAAGCUCGGAGAAAAAGAAAACAAGGAGAAGGUUGGUGCGUUAGUCAAAAGAAAGCACCAGCGCCCGAGCACCAGCUUCGGAUUCGCUCUAUCGUCUAAGGGACAAAUCCGAAGAAGAAGAACCUUUUGUUCCAGUGUCCCGUGAGUCGUUGCAACUCGAAAAGCAGGGGGGCCUGAACCAGAGUUUAGUGAGGCGGAUCUUCCUCAAGCCAGGGAAGGCGAUGAGGAGACUGCGGCCGAGGUUUCCCGGGAUACGGCAGUGCCCCAAAGGAGGCACUCGGUGUGAUUGACAUCAAAGAGCACUCCAACGAGGGGGCCCACGGAGCAGACGACCCCCUCCGCUGCUUUUUUGAUGGCAUGGAUUCCACCGCCACAGAAGACAUCACCGGAUUGGGUGACAUAGAGGUACCAAGAAAAAGUCCGUACUCGGGGGCAAGUGGGCCUAACUCGAUCCCGAAACUAAUCAACCGAUUCCCUGCCCCGAGUGUGGAUCCUAAUCGUAAGCGGUCUAUCAUUAUCAAUGUUCCAGAGGAUGCCUGGGUCCUUUCCGCCCCCAUAGGGGUGUCCAGUUACCUUCGGUGCCUUAUGACCGAAGAAGACCAAGCCAAAAUCAACGAGGUAGACGAGCCCUGCCUAUUCAACGAAGCACAAAAGGCGUUGAACCGGGUAACUAUAAAUAACUCUCGAUGAUUUCAAUUUUUCCUCUUAUACUUGAACUAAUUCAUGGAUAAUCCUAACAUUUUUCUUCGUAUUUGUAGGCCUCGGUGCUUCACCACGAAACUUUCCUCCGGUAUCGAGAUGAGCUGAACCAACUCGAAGCCGAAGUCGGAGAUCUUACUGAGAAGAGAGACACGUAUAAACUUCUCAGCGAGCAUAGUGAAGGAGAGGCUAAUAGCCUUUGAGAUGAGUUAGAAGCGGCUCAGAAAGAACACGCCGACCUGGUUGAACAGGUAAAAUUUUUUGAAGUUAGUGACGAUGAGCUAGACAAGGUGACUAAUGGUCGGAACCCAUAGGUCCAACAGAACAUUGAUCGGAUCGACCAACUUCGAGCUGAGAUGGAUGCAGCCAAGGUCGAGGCCGAAGAGUGGAGAGGCAAGAUGGACCGUCUGGCCUCAAAAAAGGAUAUUGCCCGGGCGCAGUUGACCUCGACGGAGGCCUAGCUUCGAGCGAUGAGGGAAAAGGCUAACGGUCCCAAAAGAUCGAGGAGCUCCAGCCUCAGCUAAGCUCGACUAUUUUUGAUCGAGAGACCCUUGCCAAGGAGCUUAAAGCGGCCAAGUCUAUGGUUGAAGUAACCAAAGCUAAUGCCGACAAGAUGGUGGCCCAGUAUAAGGCCGAUGCUGAGGCAGCCCAGGACCGUCUGAAAGAUAUCGUCGAAUAUGUAAAGUGGCAGUCUCGAAGAAAGGCCCUCGAGGAAGUUCAUGCUCGGGGUUUUGAUUUGUCGGUCGAGGACGAAACUGCUAAGGGGCUUGAAGCCGAGGCCAAGAAACUGGUGUAUCCCGAGGACAAAGAAGACUCCGAGAGUUCGGGCGGAUCCGGGGGCGGAGAAGACUUUGAUGAUCCCGGUGACGAGGCAAGCUUUGGUGGAGACCAAGUUGUUUAAGUGCCUUGUAUAUUUUUCUUUGUUUUUGUAAUUUUGUAAUUUUUUUGUCAAGGCCGUUUGGCCUUUNNNNNNNNNNNNNNNNNNNNNNNNNGAUAUCGAAUGCCUUAGCACGUAAUAACUAGGUCUUGUUCAGAGGUUCGAACAUGCCUUGCUCUCGAUAUUAUUUUGUUUAAGACUCGUGGGGGCUCGGUAUGACUGGAAGUUUUCCCCAAAGUACUUAGAAUAUUUUAGAUUAUAAUUUGUCGAGGGUAGCCUUUUGAACCGGUUUAAAAAUUUUGAAGGCAUUGUUUUUUGUUACGGGUCUCAGACGUCUUCGAGCCAUUUUAAUACAGUCGUAGCCUUUCUAGUUCGGGUAUUGCCUAGUGGGCUUGUUACCCUGAGUCAUCCGGGCUUAACCGAGAUAACUAUUCCCGAAUAGGGGUGGCUGUAGCCUUUAAAGUUCAGGCACUACCAAAUAAGCUUUGUGCCCCCGGACUUUAUUUUCUUGGGAUGUCCAAACCUGCAUUGGGCAGCAGUCCCUGAGUGAGGUGGCCCUUAGGCUCGAUGUUUUCGGGAGAUCAAAUGUAAGAAAGAAAAAUUUUCAAGUGGCAAAAUAUUUAUCCGCAAGGUAGAGACUUCCUUUCAAUUUUGUGCGUAAUAUACAAAGUUACACAUGUGUUGUUCAAGCUUUGUGUCCAGGCUCAGGUGGUCUGUGUGGGCACAGUUCAUUCGACCAUUUGGCCCUUACAGUAAAUCCUAUUGUUCGAGCCUAGACUAUUCGAGCACAAAGUUUCUUUCCUUGUCAAAAUCAUUUUCCAAAGGUGAUGCCCCCCAAUGUUCGAGGUCAAUCAUAGAGAAGCCUCGAGUACUGUUGACAAUCGGUCUUUGAUUCUAAGUUAGCAUGAUCCAUUGUUACCUCGUUAAAAACCUUGUCGGAAAACCCAUUUGGAACAAAACCGGAUCAAGGGAAAAAGAGUGCAACGCGUGCUUUCCUGCCUAAAAAAUUGUAGCGUUCUUUGACGGCUACCUGCAAGCGUUAGUUCAAAAUGUAGAUAAAUAAAAGAUGUAAAUGGGUUCGUACCUUAUCAGUAAUAUCGUUUCAAGUGAGUUACGUUCCAGUUGUUCGGUAGUUGUUCACCGUUCAUUGCUCCGAGUUUUUACGACCCUUUUCCGUUGAUCUCAAUAAUUUGAUACGAAACUUCCCAGUUUGUUCCCAUCUUUCCUUCGUUCGGGUUCCGGGUAUUUAAUGUGACCUUCGUCAACACUAAGUCCCCGACAUUAAAGUGUCGAAGGUUGGAUCUUCGAUUAUAAUACCUCUCGAUCCAUUGUUUUUGGGCGGUCAUUCGGACGAGGGUAGCUUCAUGCCUUUCAUCUAACAGUUCCAGGUUCGUAUUCACGGUCUCGUUGUUUGAUUCUUCAGUUGUAUAUCGGAACCUGAGACUCGGUUCUCCGACUUCAACCAGUAUUAGGGUUUCGGCACUGUAAACCAAUGUGAAUGGGGUAGCCCCGGUACUGGACUUCGAGGUCGUACGGUAUGCCCAUAGGACUUACGGCAAGAUUUAUUUCCAUUUUUCUUUGGCGUCGGUCAAUAUUUUUCUGAGGUUCAGGAGUAUAGUUUUGUUUGUAAACUCCGCUUGCUUGUUCCCACUAGGGUGAUAUGGUGUUGAUAGGAUUCUUUUGAUCUAAUGAUCUUCGAGAAACUUGCUUACUUUUUUGCCGAUGAACUACUUCCCAUUAUCACACAUGAUCUCGGCCGGCAUUCUGAACCGACAUAUUAUAUAGUCCCAGAUGAAAUCAAUGACUUCCUUCUCCCUGACUUUCACUUACGCCUGGGCUUCCACCUAUUUAGAAAAAUAGUCAGUCAUAAAUAAUAUAAAUUGAGCCUUACCGGGUGCCCAUAGAAAGAGGCGACAAUGUCCAUCCCCCAUUUCAUGUACGGCCAGGGCGAUAGGACCGAGUGUAACAGCUUCCCGGGCUGAUGAAUCGUCGGAGCAUGCCUUUGACAUCCGUCGCAUUUUCGUACAAUCUCGUUCGCGUCCUUUUCCAUGUCGAUCCAAUACUAGCCGCCUCUGAUUAUUUUCUGAACUAACGAUUCGGUGCCCGAAUGAUUUUCGCAGGUGCCUUCAUGGAUUUUCCUCAGAACAUACUCGGUGUCUCCGGGUCCUAGACAUAUUGCGAGUGGGCCAUCGAUCAUUCUCCGAAACAGUCUACCGUCUUCGGACAGGCCGAACCGGGCCGCCUUUGUACGCAGAGUCCUCGAUUCCUUUGUAUGCAGAGUCCUCGCAGAGGCCGAACCGGGCCGCCUUUCGAUCUUCAGAUAUUCUAUAUGUUUGUUUCUCUGGUCCCAAGUCAGGCUUGUUGAGUUUAUCUCGGCGUGACCUUCUUCCACUACUGAUCUCAUGAGUUGUACGACCACCCCCGAGUUGAACUCAUCGUCACGACCGACGAUCCCAAGUUAGCAAGGGCAUCGGCCUCGCUGUUUUGAUCUCGAGGCACAUGUUGUAGAGUCCACUCUUUGAACCGAUGUAAAUGUUACAUACAGUUUGUCCAGGUAUCUUUGCAUUUAUUCCUCUCUGACUUCGAACGUCCCAUUAACUUGGUUCACCACAAAGAGGGAGUCGUACUUAGCUUCAAUCACCUCUGCCUCCAAGCUUUUGGCAAGUUCGAGACCUGCAAUCUUGGCCUCAUACUCGGCCUCAUUGUUAGUUAAUUUUACAGUCCUAAUAGAUUGUGAAACUAAAUUACCGGCGGGUGGUUUCAAGACAAUUCCAAGUCCGGACCCCUUUGCGUUCGAGGCGCCGUCGAUAAAGAGUGUCCAGAUUCCCGAAGAAGUCCCCGAGUUUAACAACAACUCUCUUUCGAUCUCGGGUAUUAGAGCCAGUGUAAAGUCAGCCACAAAGUUUAUCAAAAUUUGAGACUUAAUGGCGGUCCGAGGCCGAUAUUUGAUGUCAUACCCACUGAUCUCUACGGCCCAUUUGGCCAACCGUACCGAGAGCUCGGGUUAUGCAUUAUAUUCCUUAAUGGUUAAUUGGUUACAACAUAUAUGGGGUGACAUUGAAAGUAUGGUUUUAGCUUCCUAAAGGCGCUUAGCAAAGUGAGUGCCAGCUUUUCUAGGUGAGGGUACCUAGUUUUGGCCACGCCAAGAGUCCUGCUAACAUAGUAAAUUGGAAAUUGCGUACCUUUCUCUUCGCGGACCGGAACUCCACUUACCGCUAUCUUCGAUACUGCCAAGUACAAGUAUAGUUGUUCGUCUGUCUUCAGCAUGUGAAGCAGCGGUGGGCUCGAUAGAUAUCGCUUGAGCUCCUCCAAGGCCUGUUGGCACUCCGAGGUCCAUGAGAAGUUAUUGUUUUUCUUCAAUAGUUAGAAUAAACGGUGUCUCUUGUCGGAUGACCUCGAAAUAAAUCGUCCCAAGGCAGCUAUGCAUCUGGUUAACCUUUGUACGACCUUCACGUUGUCCACAACAGUGAUAUCUUCAAUGGACUUGAUCUUAUCGGGGCUGAUCUUGGAUACCAUGAAUCUGAGGAAUUUGCCGAACCCAACUCCAAAUGCACAUUUCUCUAGGUUCAGCUUCAUAUUGUAUUAUUUCAAUAUGCUGAAGGUUUCCUGCAAAAAAUCGAAUAAUAAUUAAAUUUAUAAGUGGUUUUAAGGAUACGCGGAUUAACUUGAUACAAAGUAAUAAAUUAAGUUGCUAUUGAAUAAAAAAAGACGAAACAAAUUCAAACCACACGAGUUGGAUAGUUUGAGCCUAAGUAAAAUAGCCACUCUCGAACGAAGCUCACAAAGACCGGUAUGGAUGAAAAAGAACAAGAGCUUAAAGACAGAGAAAAAUAAUAAUGUAUUAUUUUCGAGUGCAUUUUACAAUGUGUCAAAUGAAUGAUUAAACCCCAUUUAUAUAGUAGGGGAGUCCUAUUUUAGGUACAACUCUAUAAAAAGGUAAAAAACUUUCUGAUUCGCUGAUUGUUGGUUCCUUAUCGACACGUGCCGAGAUUCUCGCCGUAACAUUCGGCCAGUCACAGAUAUUUCGGCCUUCUGUUGGCUAUGCUGGAUUGUCUGACAAUGUUGUUCGAAUUCGUUCGAAGCUAGGACCGAUUCUUGGAUCAUGGUCCUGAUAUUCUUGAAGGCAGACGUCAUGCCCCCCGGGUUCUAGCCCGGUGGGACUUUGGCUCGAUUUCGGUCCCUUAUUGCCAUAUCUCGAGCCUAUCUUAUCUUAUCGGAGGCUAGAAUGCACCAUGAGCUCGACUUUACCCGUAUACAAUAAGUGAUGAAAGUUGUAAAAGGAUAAGAGUGUUGAGCAAGGAAUAGUACAAGCUCCUCUACCCAGUUGUCCUGCCAAUAACUGUAUUCACAGAGGAUGGAAUCCGCUCGACAGCUAAAUAUCCAGGGACUUAAUUGUAAUACUAAAAACUAGUAAAGUAAAAAUAUUAGGACUUAAGUGUUAAUGACAAAACUAGACAUCUCCCUCUUUACAAACUAAUUCCAACGUCUAGGUGCAACUCCAUAAGCAGAAGGUACCAUUCAUCUGUUGUGAUACGCAUCAUUUCUCCCUUCUUGAAAUCUUCCUUGUCCUCAAGGAAGAAAAGCUGGAAACCUUGUCUUCAAGACAUGAUAAUCCUCCCAGGUAGUUUGAUCUCCAGGCAUCUGCUCCCAUUGCACAAGAACUUGGGCUAUAGCUUUGUUCCCAUUUUUGAUCAUUCUUCUGUCAAGUAUGGACUUAGGAGUAGGGUAGUAGGGGCUGGUAAUGUCCAUGACUGGAGGAUGAGUUAUAUUAUCAGGAACCUUGUAGUAUGGUUUUAGGAGGGAAACAUGGAAGGUGGGGUGUAUGGUGAUGUUAGAGGGAAGGCUCAAUUUGUAGGCAACUGUACCAAUUUUCUAAAUGAUUUGAUAAGGUCCAUAGUACUUGGUUGCUAGCUUUCAAAAGUGAUUGGUAGACAAGGUGAAUUGUCUGUAAGGUUGGAUCUUUAAGUAGACCCAAUCACUUACUUGGAACUGCCUAUCUGACUUGUGAUGGUUAGCUUGAGAGAACAUCCUUUGUUGAGCUUGAUUAAUGUGGUGCUUGAAGAGAUGUGUCUUGAAUUCUCUGGCAAUAAGACUCAUGUCUACUUGUUCAUCAACAGCAUCCCCAGGGAGGUAAGGUAAAUUUAUAGGAGGAGGUUGUCCAUAGAAAGCUUCAUAAGGGUUGUUUGGUUAGCAAAAUGGUGCGUGGUAUUGUACCACCACUCAGCGAGAGACAAAUAUAAGUGCCAGUCUUGUGGAGCAUCAGAACAAUAGCAUCUUAAGUAGGUCUCUAAGCACCUAUUUAGAACCUCAGUCUACCCAUCAGAUUGGGGAUGAUAAGCAGUAGAUGUGCUCAAAGUAACUCCGUGAGUAGAAAAAAGCUCUUGCCAGACUUUGCUGACAAACACUGGUUCCCUAUCACUAACUAUAUUCUCAGGCAUACCAUGUAGUUUGUAGACAUUAUCCAGGAAUAGUUGAGCUAUGUUUGCAGCUGUAUAGGGAUGAAAGACUUCCACAAAAUUGGCAUACUUGGUUAAACUAUCCACCACUACCCAAAAUACUGAUUUGCCUUUGGACUUAGGCAGUCCUUCCACAAAAUCCAUGCUACUACUUGACCAAGCAAUGCUAGGAACUACCAGGGGUUGGAGUAGACCAGGGUAAGGAGAACUAUCAUAUUUGCUCUUUUGAUAGAUAACACAUUCUUUAACAUGUGUAGUAAUAUCCUCCCUAUCCUCCUUCUGCAAGUAUUGUUGAUACCUGAGUGCCUUCCUAUGGGAAGGUCAUGCCAUUGCUGAAUCAUAUCCUUCCUUAGUUCUGUAUCAUUUUCCACAACUAACCUCCUAUUCUUCCUUAACUGUUGGUUAUCAUAAGAAUAACUAUUAUUUCCUUCUUCCUUGCUUUGUAUCUUCUUGAUCAAUUCCUGCGACUCAGGAUCAUUCUGCCAGCUUCCAAUGAUUCUUUGGAACAAGAUUGUCCCAGCUAGAUAGUGAGUCUGUAGCCUUGUUCUCCUUUCCUUUCUUGUAUUUAAUAGUAAGGUCAAAUUGCAUGAUCUUGGCUAUCCACUUCAUUUGAGUACCUAUAUGUAGCUUUUGCUCCAAAAGAAACUUAAAUGCCUUUUGAUCAGUCCUUACUAUGAAAUGCCUUCAUCUCAGAUACUGUGACCAUUUAGUGAUAGCCAACACCAAUGCCAAGCGUUCCUUAUCAUAUACUGAUAAGGUCUGAUGCCUGGGGGAGAGCCAUUUACUGAUGUAGGCUAUAGGGUGUCCUUUCUGCAUCAAGAUUGCUCCUAUCCCAAUGUCACAUGCAUCAGUCUCCACUAUGAAUUGUUGAGAGCUAUCAGGCAAAGCCAAUACAUGAGCAGUAACCAGGGCUGUCUUUAGAGCUUCAAAGGUUGUGGUAGCCUUAUCAUUACAAUUAAAAUUGUCCUUCUUCAAUAGGUCAGUAAGAGGUUUGCUAAUCACCCCAUACCUUUGUAUAAACCUUAUGUAAUAUCCAGGCAGCCCCAAGAACCCUCUUAGCUGAUUAAUAGUGGUUGGGACAGGCCAGUCUUGCACAACAGUAAUUUUUUCUAGAAUCAGUAGCAACACCAUCAGCAGAGAUAAAGUGGCCAAGGCAUUCAAUCAUGUUGCUUCCAAAUGAACACUUGGUUUCUCUUGCAAAUAGCUUAUGCUUCACCAAUAACUCAAAGGUUAGCUUAAGAUGUAUCGGGUGCUCCUCCAUGCUUUUGCUGAACACUAAAACGUCAUCAAACAAUACUAAGAUGAACUUUCUCAAGUACUCUUUGAAGAUGUGGUUCAUAAGGCCUUGGAAGAAAGAAGGGGCAUUGGUGAUCCCAAAUGGCAUCACCAAGUACUCAUAGUGGCCUGAGUGAGUUCUAAAUAUUGUCUUGGCUAUAUCAUCAGGAUCCAUUCUUAUCUGAUGGUAUCCUGAUCUGAGGUCAAUCUUUGUAAACACCUUAGAGCCACCAAGUUCAUCCAACAACUCUUCAAUGAUUGAAAUUGGAAACUUGUCUUUGAUAGUAGCUUUAUUUAAAGCUCUAUAAUAUACACAUAGUCUCCAUGAUCCAUCCUUCUUGCUAACUAGAACCAAAGGGGAAGCAUAUGGGCUGGAACUAGGCUGAACAAUGCCUUGGUCCAGCAUUUUUUGGACUAGCUUCUCAAUCAUAUCCUUGUGAGUUGAAGAGUACAUAUAAUGUAUGAUGUUAAUUGGGUUGCUACAAGCUUCUAAAGGUAUUAUGUGGUCAAAUAGUCCUCUAGAAGGUGGAAGCCCAGAAGGUUCUGAAAAUAGAACGUGGUACUCUUCUAUGAGGUUACUGAUUCUUGGCUCUAUCCCUGCAGAUUGAGGGAUUUUUGCAUCUUUAGAACCCUCUAUAGGUAUGACUCUCACCAUAAAUAACUGAGCUUCACCUUCAGCCAUCUUUCCUAGGGUUCUAGCAUCCACUGUCUUGAGUCUAGUAGCAUCACCUUAUAGCAGGUGCUUCUUUCCAUGAAGCUGGAAUUCCAUGGUGAGUUGGGUGAAAUUCAUCUUGAUAUCUCCAAGAGUUUGAAGCCACUGCACUCCUAGUACCAUGUCACAUGUUCCCAAGGUCAGCAGCAAGAAAUCAGUUUGGAAUGUGGUUCCUUGUAGCAACCAUUUCAACCAUUUACAUAGCUCAGUAGCAUACACGGUGCCACCAUCUGCAACACUAACAAGUUGAGGAUUGACUUUUUGAACUUGGCAACCAAACCUCUUAGCUACUUCACUGUCAAGGAAGUUGGGAGUACUUCCUUUGUCAAUCAACACACUGACAGGACCCUUCUCCGUGUAGCCUGUGACUCUCAAGGUGUGGAAGCCAGUUACCCCAUUGAGUGCAUUCAAUGAGAUGGUUACAGGAUCAACUUCUCCUCUUGCUUCAGCUUCCUUACUGGUUUCACAGACUUCCUCUUCUUGAACCUCUUCAACUUUCAUUACAUACAGUUGUUGAUUAUCAUUUUCAAGUUCCAUUCCUUCUUCCAUCUCCAACAAAAAUAGUUGUUUGUUGGUCUUACAUUUAUGUCCCAGGAAGAACUUUUCAUCACAAAAGCAACAAAGACCUUUUAGUCUUUUCUCAUUAAGCUCAACUGGUAUCAGCUUCUUUUCUCUGCCCUUGCUCCACUGGGAGUUGGGUUCUGGGGGUUUAUAAGGUGCUUUGGAACCUGAAUAUGGGACAAUAGAGGUGUUCUUUGAGGUUACCAAAGGGGUGGGAGAAGGAAAAAGUUUUAUGGUUAUGUGUUGAGCUUGGUAAGAUGACUCUUGUAACCUGGCCAGGCAGUAAGCUUGAGGUAAGGAAUUUGGUCUGUAAGCUUUGACAUUAUCUUUGUAUUCAUGCCUAAGACUAGCUAUGAAACAGCUGAUGGCAUACUCCAUUGGGGAUAACCUAUUCAUGGACCUAUCAAAUUGGUCUUGGUAGUCUUUCACAUCUCCAGUUUGAAAUAACAACUUGAGCUCAGCUAGGGGGUCAUCAUACUCAGCACCAAAUCUAUCGAUUAAGGAAUAUAAAUACUCAUCCCAACUGGGAUAAGAUAAGUGCAUUCUACUUUUCAUAUAAGCUUGGUGCCAUUCUAUAGCAACUCCCUCUAAAUAAAUGGAAACCACCUUAAUUUUCUGAACAGUAGGAAUUUCUUCUAUAGAGAAAAAUUGCUCAAUCUUAUAGAGCCAAGAUCUGAGAUCCUUACCAUCAAAAUGAGAAAACUCUAAUUUCCCUAAUCUGGAUAGAGUGUUUGCGUGUGUAACACCAUGAGAACCUCCUGUGACAGCAGCUCCAUUAUAUCCUCCUAGUGUUGGCAUAGGCUAAUUUUAUUGAGAUGGUGUGCCUCCAAGAUUGGCCCCAACACCUACUGAUGGAGACUGUAUCAUCCCAGGUCCAGUAACUACAGGAUGGUUCAAUGGUUGAGUAGAAGGUAGAUUAUAAGAGCUUCUCAUAACCUGCGCUCCAUUUCCUCCAAAGGGUCCAACUGUUGGUGAAUAAAGCUCAACACCCAGAUCUUGCUUAGAUAAGCUCUUGCCCUUAUCCUGGUGCCUUUCUGAAGCUUGUAAUGCUUCCCUCGUCUCGCUAAGGUCCUUAUCUCGAUUCUCUUCUAUUUGGUUUUGUCGCAUCGUGAUGUUUGCUAUUUUCAUCGAAAGCCUUUCGACAGCAUCAACCAAGUUCUUUAUAACGGAAGCCAUUACUCACAGUCCAAGAGCAAUGCUCUGAUACUAAAUGAUACAACUGCAAUGGAACAGUGCAAUAUUUGGAAGAGAAGAAGAAAAACUAGCUAAACUAAGCUAAAUUAAAUUAGGAGGUUUUAAAUAUAAUAAACCCUAUCAACUAUUACAAUAGAUAUUCGACAGCUAAAUGUCCAGAGACUUAAUUGUAAUACUAAAAACUUGUAAAGUAAAAACAUUAGGACUUAAGUGUUAAUGACAAAACUAGACUCUUCCCUCCUUACAAACUAAUUCCAACGGCUAGGUGCAACUCCGCAAGCAAUGCUUCCCUCAGCUCAAACAAUGCUUCCCUUAGCUCAAACAAUGCUUCCCUCAGCUCGUUAAAGGCCUUAUCUCGAUUCUCUUCUAUUUGGUUUUGACACAUCGUGAUGUUUGCUAUUUCUAUCGAAAGCAUUUCGACAGCAUCAGCCAAGUUCUUUAUAUCGGAAGCCAUUACUCACAGUCCAAGAGCAAUGCUCUGAUACCAAAUGAUGCAGUUGCAAUGAAACAGUGCAAUAUUUGGAAGAGAAGAAGAAAAACUAGCUAAACUAAGCUAAAUUAAACUAGGAGGUUUUAAUGAUAAUAAACCCUAUCAACUAUUACAAUAGAUAUAUGUGAUGAAAGUUGUAAAAGGAUAAGAGUGUUGAGCAAAGAAUAGUACGAGCUCCUCCGCCCAACUAUCCUGCCAAUAACUGUAUUUGCAGAGGAUGAAAUCUGCUCGAUAGCUAAAUGUCCAGGGACUUAAUUGCAAUACUAAAAACUUGUAAAGUAAAAAUAUUAGGACUUAAGUGUUAAUAACAAAACUAGACUUCUCCCUCUUUACAAACUAAUUCCAAUGGCUAGGCGCAACUCCGCAAGCAGAAGGUAUCAUUCCUCUGUUGUAAUACGCAUCAUUAUCUUAUCUCUUUUUCUUAGAAAAUAUAACUCUUUAAAAAGAUUAAGUAAUACUUACUACAAUUGUUUUCGUGUCCAUCAUAUACGAACACUUAGGCGCGCAUACAGCACAAGUAACGAAACGGUCUUGUUAGUACAAGGAUGAAAAUAGAUUUAACUUAUACUCCAUACUAGUGCAAAAGACGAUUAUUGUAGCAGUAACAAAAACUACUUUAUCCGCUUAAGUAAUUUUUUGGUUAUUUUUCCUACAUAUUAAAAAAUUUAUCUUUUAACAUUAACUAACAAUAUAAUUGACCGUAUUAACCUUAAUUUAUUCAUUAAAAAUACAACAAAUGCUCCUAGGCUCUUUACUCCAAGGACAACUUUGGAAAAAAGAAGUUAAUUCUUUCUUGAUAUUUGAAAAAAUUAAAUAUUGUGGACCACAAAAAAAAGCCAAAAAAUCACUUAAAGUUAAUUCUUUUUAGUGUUAUUAAUUAAUCUCAUUUAUUGUUAUGAAUUAUCUUUUAAUUGACUGAUAGUGUUAAAAAAAAAAGUUACUCCAUUAUUUAGUGUGUGUAAAUUUAAACUGGUCAACUCCCACGGCAAAUUUGGACCGAAAGCAAUAAGCUACCAUGUACACACCCCAUAGUGCAAACAAAAAGCUGUAAAACUAGAAUAUGAUUAAAAUUAAAAAUAAAAAAAACAGAAACUAGAGUCCAAACAUUCCAGUUACUACACCAUUAGAUAAUUAUCCAACUGGGAAGCUAAAAUCACAUAGCAUAGCACUGCAUUUUAUUUUCCUUAACAUAUGAAGCUUUAUUCGUGAUAAUUUGUUCAUGUACGUACGUGCACUCAUUAGACAUCAGUUGGAAGUUCCAACUUGGAAUCAAAAGGUUGCUCCUCAAGAUCGCCAAAGGGACGUUGUCCUCUAUAAUUACCUGGUGGAUCAUAAUUGCAAGUUAUGAAAAACCAACCAUUGUUACAUCUAACCCUAGCACAGCCAAGACGUACUGAGUUACGCCAUACCACCUGAGUAUAGUGUCCACAUACUCCUCCUACGCAAGAAUUUGAAUUGUAAUCGUAGAAACGCUUCUCAUCAACCCACAUUUUUACAGCACCAGCGGCG
RNAcentral lists this long non-coding RNA (17275 nucleotides) under Nicotiana tabacum (common tobacco). RNAcentral's name for it is "long non-coding RNA (NTAB_LNC011252)". Lineage: Eukaryota; Viridiplantae; Streptophyta; Magnoliopsida; Solanales; Solanaceae. The record is from RNAcentral.